This 496-nucleotide ribosomal RNA is filed under the name uncultured bacterium. RNAcentral's name for it is "partial 16S ribosomal RNA". It matches the Rfam family "Bacterial small subunit ribosomal RNA", at positions 28 to 506 of the family's 1533-position model. The record is from RNAcentral.
GAUGAACGCUGGCGGCGUGCCUAAUACAUGCAAGUCGAGCGAACAGAUGAGGAGCUUGCUCCUCUGACGUUAGCGGCGGACGGGUGAGUAACACGUGGAUAACCUACCUAUAAGACUGGGAUAACUUCGGGAAACCGGAGCUAAUACCGGAUAAUAUAUUGAACCGCAUGGUUCAAUAGUGAAAGACGGUUUUGCUGUCACUUAUAGAUGGAUCCGCGCCGCAUUAGCUAGUUGGUAAGGUAACGGCUUACCAAGGCAACGAUUCGUAGCCGACCUGAGAGGGUGAUCGGCCACACUGGAACUGAGACACGGUCCAGACUCCUACGGGAGGCAGCAGUAGGGAAUCUUCCGCAAUGGGCGAAAGCCUGACGGAGCAACGCCGCGUGAGUGAUGAAGGUCUUCGGAUCGUAAAACUCUGUUAUUAGGGAAGAACAAAUGUGUAAGUAACUAUGCACGUCUUGACGGUACCUAAUCAGAAAGCCACGGCUAACUACGU